RNAcentral lists this ribosomal RNA (386 nucleotides) under Salmonella enterica. RNAcentral's name for it is "partial 23S ribosomal RNA". It matches the Rfam family "Bacterial large subunit ribosomal RNA", at positions 1183 to 1547 of the family's 2925-position model. The record is from RNAcentral. RNAcentral also lists the same sequence under 1 other name. Lineage: Bacteria; Pseudomonadati; Pseudomonadota; Gammaproteobacteria; Enterobacterales; Enterobacteriaceae.
CGAUUGACGGAGCGAAGCGACGUCAAAGCGUUCAUUAAAGUCGAGUUGGCUUAGGGAUACGUUCGUUGGGUAGGGGAGCGUUCUGUAAGCCUGUGAAGGUGUGUCGUGAGGCAUGCUGGAGGUAUCAGAAGUGCGAAUGCUGACAUAAGUAACGAUAAAGCGGGUGAAAAGCCCGCUCGCCGGAAGACCAAGGGUUCCUGUCCAACGUUAAUCGGGGCAGGGUGAGUCGACCCCUAAGGCGAGGCCGAAAGGCGUAGUCGAUGGGAAACGGGUUAAUAUUCCCGUACUUGGUGUUACUGCGAAGGGGGGACGGAGAAGGCUAUGUUGGCCGGGCGACGGUUGUCCCGGUUUAAGCGUGUAGGUGUGUGUUCCAGGUAAAUCCGGUU